This 253-nucleotide ribosomal RNA is filed under the name uncultured bacterium. RNAcentral describes it as "partial 16S ribosomal RNA". It matches the Rfam family "Bacterial small subunit ribosomal RNA", at positions 524 to 776 of the family's 1533-position model. The record is from RNAcentral.
UACAGAGGCCUCGAGCGUUGUUCGGAAUUACUGGGCGUAAAGCGAAUGUAGGUGGUGACGUAAGUCAGAUGUGAAAGCCCAGGGCUUAACCCUGGAAAUGCAUUUGAUACUGCGUUGCUGGAGUAUGAGAGAGGAAAGGGGAAUUCCUAGUGUAGGAGUGAAAUCCGUAGAUAUUAGGAGGAAUACCAAUGGCGAAGGCACCUUUCUGGUUCAUUACUGACACUGAGAUUCGACAGCGUGGGGAGCAAACAGG